Molecule: long non-coding RNA, 2186 nt
Organism: Phyllopteryx taeniolatus (common seadragon)
Lineage: Eukaryota; Metazoa; Chordata; Actinopteri; Syngnathiformes; Syngnathidae
Exons: 2
Source: RefSeq, a predicted model, not a curated record
AAUGUUAUAACACCAUCGGAAUAAUGGCGCCUCGAAAGUCCAGUGGUAUAGCAAUUGCGUGUAACUUAACUUUAACUUUAUAACUUGUUCGACUUUAGUGUUUAAUUUCAUAACAAAAGUUUAUAUCGACGAACGCGUAGGAAACAAUGUAAGGAAGUUAGUAAGUUAGUCAGAAGAUGGCAGCAACGAACCAUGUCGUCGCUGGUGUUAAAACCACCGAAGAAGAAAAGCCCGGACGUUUAUACGGAUCACCACAGAGGAUUUUCAACUGUAAAUGUUCCCAGCUGACUUUUGGGCGAAAGGCUGGCUACGCCCCGGACUGGGCGCCACCCAAUCGCAGGGCCCAUUGGACGUGAGCCCAGAUUCAAACCCGGGUCCUCUUGACUGUGCGGUGGACGUGCUAACCACUAGGUCACCGUGCUGCCUUCUGACUUCUUUGUGAGCAGCGUGUCGAAACGGCGGUCAUCGGCAUGAAUGGCAAUGACAUCAUUGUCAGCCUUGCCGCUUGCAUGGAUGCCUUUAUUAAAUCACAGUCGAUCGUGCGUUGGCCCUGGCUGAAUGAUCCAAUUUAACUUCACAUUAGCAUCAGGGUGGCGCAGGAAAAACAAUACAGGGAUUGACUGGGACGCAUAAUUGAAAACAAAAUGCAUUGCUCAAGGGCACUUUGGCAGUUUUUGGCAAAUCUUUUUCUGACAGAAUAAGUAAGGACGCAAUCUUGUCUGUGGGGUUUUAUCAUUAAAAAAAUAAAUAAAGAAAAGUCUUUGCAAAGAGAGGAAAAGGUUCAAGUCUUACAAGUUGUCACCCCUUGACAGAAAACCCCUUCGUCAGAUCGAAGUGAGAGAGACAGAGAAGGAAAGCAAAACAAUUAUCUUCGUCCAGCUGCACUCGACUUAUCUUUAUCGAAAAACAGCUCGUCGUCACAACAUGGCUGGGAAAAAUGAGUACGCACGGUAUAGCUAGUAGUCGCAACAUAGCUAGGAACAAUUAGUACGCGCACAGGGCUAGUAGUCACAAUGUAACAAUAAAGCAUGUGAAGGUUGUAUAAAACUAAUGAAAGUCAUAUUUGGUAUAUAUCAAACAUACAUUUUCCAACUCAGUGCGCAGACAUUUUGGGGGGGCAGGUGCAAAAGGACACUCAUCGGCAAAAUUAUUUCGACAAUUAAGAAAAAAAAUAGUAUAUAAUUGAUCUUGAUAUUUAUUUCUAUUCACACAAUCAACACAGACAAUAAAACAGCUAUUAACAAAGGGGCUGACUAUUAACAAAUGUCAGGUUUUUGAGACAUUCAAAAAUGAGACCAAGAAAAAGAAUUUACUCGUGCACUCCACUUUUUUUCACUUUCAGUUAACCUAUGACCUGUACAAUUCAACUAAAAAAAGAGGGGGGAAGUACUAAUUAACAACUAAAAUGACGUGGUUGCACAAGGGCACACACCCUCUUAUAAAUGGGGAUGUGGCUGUGUUCAUCAGUAAGCAAUCACAUUCAAACUCAUGUUAAAUGGGGGUCAGCACACACCUGCCAACAGUUAAAGUGCCUCCGAUUCACCCCAAAUAAAUGAAGGUGGGAGCAUAUGUACAAUUCCCCCAAGGACUCAAAUAAAUGGCCCUCAAAUAUCAACACACACUGGAUGGAAUUGAUGAAGAAGAAAAAAGGGGACUUUUUCAUCUAGGGCAAAAGGGCAGGUGCUUGAGCACCACCUAGUGGCUAUGUGUGCACGUGGCGUUUGGCCACAGACCGAGCUGCUGUUGCCGGGUCGACAACACGCAAUACUGUACUCUCGAGCAAAAAUAUUCUAAACGGGUUCAAAUUUUAUUCUAAUUGUUUUUAUCUCGUAACAGUGUUCUAGUCAGAAGAAUCGCAAUAAGCUCAUCAAUUCCAAGAGGGCCCAAAAUGUAUGGACUGAGGUAGCCAAUGAGCGCCGGGCUAAUGACCGUCAAGUGAAGUUGUUGUUGUUUGCCACACAGAAGCAGAGAAGUGAUAAUCCUCCAAGAAUGCGCACUUGUUUCAAAAAUGGGAAACGCUUAACAAGUGGAGACAAAGAAACGAAAGAAUGAAACCAACGCGGCCCUCAGCCCGUGCUCAAUGGAUUGCUUAUGUUUUUGAGCUUUGGGUUCGAGUUGUGUAAACAGGCCAGCUUUGCAAAGUGAUUUUGUCUCGGCAAAGACCGAAUAAAAAUCUUGCAAUGUGA